This 408-nucleotide unclassified non-coding RNA is filed under the name fungal sp. Its description in RNAcentral is "partial internal transcribed spacer region". The stretch from base 1 to 46 matches the Rfam family "Eukaryotic small subunit ribosomal RNA", at positions 1786 to 1831 of the family's 1831-position model. Lineage: Eukaryota; Fungi. The record is from RNAcentral.
AAGUCGUAACAAGGUCUCCGUAGGUGAACCUGCGGAGGGAUCAUUAACACGUUUCUUUAAACAAACGUUUCCAACCAACCCGUGAACUUUCUAAAUUUUAUAUACCCCGACCUGGGAGUUGAGAGAAUCCUGUUUGAAUGUGCUUAGUGAUGGGCAUUUGGCUUGCUAAAUGCGAGCGCAUUCAAGCUGGGAAAGCGAAUAUGCAAAUAUUAGGACUUUCCAAGGCCUCUCUUCUUUCGGGCUAAUUCUUUACCAUUACUUUCCUUCAUUCACUGGAAGUAAUGGCAAAACCCAAACCCCUUUCACCCCUUUAUAACCACUUGACUGAUAACUUAUUUUGUGAAAACAAAAUGAAACUUAAUCAAAAUAUCUAAAGCACAACUCUUAGCAACGGAUAUCUUGGUUCUC